GAUUGAACGCUGGCGGGCAGGCCCUAACACAUGCAAGUCGAGCGGUAGCACAGAGAGCUUGCUCUCGGGUGACGAGCGGCGGACGGGUGAGUAAUGUCUGGGAAACUGCCUGAUGGAGGGGGAUAACUACUGGAAACGGUAGCUAAUACCGCAUAACGUCGCAAGACCAAAGUGGGGGACCUUCGGGCCUCAUGCCAUCAGAUGUGCCCAGAUGGGAUUAGCUGGUAGGUGGGGUAACGGCUCACCUAGGCGACGAUCCCUAGCUGGUCUGAGAGGAUGACCAGCCACACUGGAACUGAGACACGGUCCAGACUCCUACGGGAGGCAGCAGUGGGGAAUAUUGCACAAUGGGCGCAAGCCUGAUGCAGCCAUGCCGCGUGUGUGAAGAAGGCCUUCGGGUUGUAAAGCACUUUCAGCGGGGAGGAAGGCGGUGAGGUUAAUAACCUCACCGAUUGACGUUACCCGCAGAAGAAGCACCGGCUAACUCCGUGCCAGCAGCCGCGGUAAUACGGAGGGUGCAAGCGUUAAUCGGAAUUACUGGGCGUAAAGCGCACGCAGGCGGUCUGUCAAGUCGGAUGUGAAAUCCCCGGGCUCAACCUGGGAACUGCAUUCGAAACUGGCAGGCUAGAGUCUUGUAGAGGGGGGUAGAAUUCCAGGUGUAGCGGUGAAAUGCGUAGAGAUCUGGAGGAAUACCGGUGGCGAAGGCGGCCCCCUGGACAAAGACUGACGCUCAGGUGCGAAAGCGUGGGGAGCAAACAGGAUUAGAUACCCUGGUAGUCCACGCUGUAAACGAUGUCGAUUUGGAGGUUGUGCCCUUGAGGCGUGGCUUCCGGAGCUAACGCGUUAAAUCGACCGCCUGGGGAGUACGGCCGCAAGGUUAAAACUCAAAUGAAUUGACGGGGGCCCGCACAAGCGGUGGAGCAUGUGGUUUAAUUCGAUGCAACGCGAAGAACCUUACCUGGUCUUGACAUCCACAGAACUUUCCAGAGAUGGUUUGGUGCCUUCGGGAACUGUGAGACAGGUGCUGCAUGGCUGUCGUCAGCUCGUGUUGUGAAAUGUUGGGUUAAGUCCCGCAACGAGCGCAACCCUUAUCCUUUGUUGCCAGCGGUUAGGCCGGGAACUCAAAGGAGACUGCCAGUGAUAAACUGGAGGAAGGUGGGGAUGACGUCAAGUCAUCAUGGCCCUUACGACCAGGGCUACACACGUGCUACAAUGGCAUAUACAAAGAGAAGCGACCUCGCGAGAGCAAGCGGACCUCAUAAAGUAUGUCGUAGUCCGGAUUGGAGUCUGCAACUCGACUCCAUGAAGUCGGAAUCGCUAGUAAUCGUAGAUCAGAAUGCUACGGUGAAUACGUUCCCGGGCCUUGUACACACCGCCCGUCACACCAUGGGAGUGGGUUGCAAAAGAAGUAGGUAGCUUAACCUUCGGGAGGGCGCUUACCACUUUGUGAUUCAUGACUGGGGUGAAGUCGUAACAAGGUAACCGUAGGGGAACCUGCGGCUGGAUC
This 1507-nucleotide ribosomal RNA is filed under the name Klebsiella sp. NCIM5432. RNAcentral's name for it is "bacterial SSU rRNA". It matches the Rfam family "Bacterial small subunit ribosomal RNA". Lineage: Bacteria; Pseudomonadati; Pseudomonadota; Gammaproteobacteria; Enterobacterales; Enterobacteriaceae. The record is from RNAcentral.